This 305-nucleotide ribosomal RNA is filed under the name uncultured bacterium. Its description in RNAcentral is "bacterial SSU rRNA". It matches the Rfam family "Bacterial small subunit ribosomal RNA", at positions 337 to 660 of the family's 1533-position model. The record is from RNAcentral.
UCCUACGGGGCGCAGCAGUGAGGGAUAUUGGUCAAUGGGGGAAACCCUGAACCAGCAACGCCGCGUGAGGGAAGACGGUUUUCGGAUUGUAAACCUCUGUCCUCUGUGAAGAUAAUGACGGUAGCAGAGGAGGAAGCUCCGGCUAACUACGUGCCAGCAGCCGCGGUAGUACGUAGGGAGCGAGCGUUAUCCGGAUUUAUUGGGUUUAAAGGGUGCGUAGGCGGGCUUUUAAGUCAGCGGUAAAAAUUCGGGGCUCAACCCCGUCCGGCCGUUGAAACUGGGGGCCUUGAGUGGGCGAGAAGAAG